UACGGGGGGGGCAAGCGUUGUUCGGAAUUACUGGGCGUAAAGGGCUCGUAGGCGGCCAACUAAGUCAGACGUGAAAUCCCUCGGCUUAACCGGGGAACUGCGUCCGAUACUGGAUGGCUUGAGAUUGGGAGAGGGAUGCGGAAUUCCAGGUGUAGCGGUGAAAUGCGUAGAUAUCUGGAGGAACACCGGUGGCGAAGGCGGCAUCCUGGACCAACACUGACGCUGAUGAGCGAAAGCCAGGGGAGCAAACGGG
This 253-nucleotide ribosomal RNA is filed under the name uncultured bacterium. RNAcentral's name for it is "partial 16S ribosomal RNA". It matches the Rfam family "Bacterial small subunit ribosomal RNA", at positions 524 to 776 of the family's 1533-position model. The record is from RNAcentral.